Molecule: ribosomal RNA, 253 nt
Filed under: uncultured bacterium
Lineage: Bacteria
Description: partial 16S ribosomal RNA
Rfam family: Bacterial small subunit ribosomal RNA
Source: RNAcentral
CACGGGGGGAGCAAGCGUUGUUCGGAAUCACUGGGCGUAAAGGGCGUGUAGGCGGUCAGGUAAGUGAGAUGUGAAAUGCCCCGGCUCACCCGGGGACCGGCAUCUCAUACUGCUUGGCUUGAGUACGGGAGAGGAUGUGGGAAUUCCUGGUGUAGCGGUGAAAUGCGUAGAGAUGCGGAGGAACACCGAUGGCGAAGGCAGCCCCCUGGGCUGACACUGACGCUCAGGCACGAAAGCGUGGGGAGCAAACAGG